UUAAAAACCUGAUAUUAAAUUUUGGAGUAAAUUAAACACCCAUAAACUGUCUGUCAUCAUGUAAUUAAUUGAUUCUAAAUCCUCAUCAAGUGAUCACUCAGUUCCAUACACUGGGUUGAUUUCCAUUGAUUUCCAUUUAUUUUCCUUUGAUUUCCAUUGAUUUUCAACUUAUUUAUAUCAUCUUUAAUUCAUCUAUCUCCAUGGAAUAAACGAAUCCAACCCCGUACCGACUUGUUAAUCUUAAUUUCAACAAGAACCGGUUACAAAAAUGGCGCCCAACGGAAAUUGGAGAUAAUUAAACCUGGUGGUUCUGCCCGCGCGCUCCAGAAGUGCACUGACUUGGCUAUUCCAUCUUUACACUUCGUAUUCGGCGCCUUGUGACGUCACAGGAAGUUCAUCCUAGGAAUUGCGCAAGACCCGUAUACUUGUGAAUAUUUGUGUUUGUGUUGUGCUUGUGACAUUAUAUGUGUGAAAUUGUGUUGUGUUUGUGUAUUUGGAUAAUUCACUACCAUGCAUGGUCCGGUAAGACAGUUUUAAUGUUUAUUUCUCAUGUUCUGUGAAUGUAAACACUAUAUUUAGAUUUGGCCUCAUUUUCUUGAUCACGUGAUCGGUAUCAGCUGUUCCAUUUUGUACAGUAGGUCAUCUCAUUUUGAUUAGUUUAUCUUUUGUGAAUUUAUAUUUUUGCGUCAUUUCAGUGUUUAAAUAUAUUCAGAGUCAGUGAGAAAGACAUUUGAGAGUGCUUAAAACUUAAAAGUUUUCUAAAUAACGCUUUGAAAGCACAUCCGGAAAUAUCCGGAAGGUAUUUUCUAAAUUAAACUAAACCAAUUCCUUUGUCCUUGACAUUCAGAUAACAACAUCCGGUAAACAAAAACCACGUUUUAGCAAAAGAAUUUGUUGGUGAAUUUUCAGCUGGUAUUCAUAAAUAAGAGUUCCUGUCUUGUAUUUGGUUUGUUUAUUCAUUUCUUGGAAGCAGUCUGACCAUCUUGCAUCUGGUUUGAAGUUGA
Long non-coding RNA from Saccostrea cuccullata (small rock oyster), 1004 nucleotides. RefSeq lists it as uncharacterized. The record is from RefSeq and is a predicted model, not a curated record. Lineage: Eukaryota; Metazoa; Mollusca; Bivalvia; Ostreida; Ostreidae. The transcript has 3 exons.